CCCCGGAAACAUUUCUUGAUCCGCGCAUGAUCUGCAUGUACAUGUUGCUUUAUCACUCUUGUCUCUGAAAUGAAUGCAUGUGUGAAGAAAAGCCUUGCUACUGUGCAUGUUUAUUGGUUUAAAUUUUUUAUGUAGUUAUGCAUAAAUGAAGUUGUUUCAUUAACAGAAUCCACGUGUCUUCUUAAAAUUAAUUCGAUAAGGAAUCCGGAAUUAAUACGAAAUCGGUUUUAGUUUUGUCGAUGACAAAACAUACGUCACAUUUUUACGUCACGGGGGCAGCAGAUCGAACAUGCAGGAUGAAUUUAGCAGAGGUAUGCAUUGGCUGCUUGACAUAUCCCUGGAAGAGGACAUCAACUAGCUAACGGUCAAUGACAGAUGUCUCUUUGAAUAAUCAAAUGGAUAUGAUACAGAAGUUUCAAAGAUCUGUUUUGAUGUAGCCUGAAGAUUUUGUAAUGAAUGAUCCAGGAUCCAAAUGUUCUUCGCGAAGUUCAGACAGUUGCAAUGUGGUUGCUAAUUUAGUGACAGAUUAAGAAAGAAGUUCAAACAAGCAUUGUCAUGGGAAAACAUUAAAAAGGAAGGAAUUGGAGGUGGACAAAAAUCAGGAUGAAUAUACUAGAGAAACUAUUAAAGCACAGAAGAAUGACAACAAUAUAAAUCUAAAUGUAAUCAUUCAAGGAAUUAAAUUCAUUUUUAAUCUCGAAACUGUCUUUUUUCUGUAACUCUAAUUUUAGAUUAACAAGUAGCUGGAAAUGCAAAAUGAAUGUUUCCAAAGAUCCACUGAAGUUACUGAGUAAUCAAUUGAAGUGAUUCAAGCAGCAAGAUGAAGUAUAUCAUGAAUGAACUGAAAAAUUGAAAAUAUUCAAGUAAUUUAAUUUUAAGCAAUUUACAUGUGAUAUGUAUGUAAUUCAUGUGAAAAACGUACGUUGGAUCCACAUACGUAAAACGUAUGGACUGUAUCACGUAUGUCUAACACACGUGUAACAUACGUUUCACAUAUGUUCAUUAACGUACGUUAAACACACGUGGUACUUAAAUCACGUUAAACGUACGUGAGGUCACAUACGUAUCACACAUGUUUAACGUAUGUGAAACGUAUGUGGCACAUUUUGCUGUGUAGUUCAUGUUUAUUAGUAUUACUGCUAGAAUCCUACUGCUGAUCACAAAAAAUAAAUAUUGUCAUUAUUUAUCGGAAACCCCCUCGACUUCUUCAAUUUCAUUGAAAAUACUGUGUGUUUUUUAUUGACAACAGCACAGGAUUCUAGCAGCACUUUUCAAGUAGUUUUGGUAAUAUGCUUUUGUUACAUGCUGAAUUCAACUUUCAUAAUAUCCAGGGUAGUGUUAUACAUUUGCCUUUUUUGUACACACUGACAGAGGAAAGGCCGGCAAAGCCACACAAAUGUCUGUCUGCUUACAUUAUAACCCUCGCUAAUGAAACAAAAUAUCUAUUCCCGUAUUAUCCUGAUUAUAUCCAAACAGACAUUCAUCUAAAUCUUGUGUAUCAGUAUGAAAUAAGUCUUAUUUCGGCAUUGUUUACACUGCAUUCCGAUGAUUUGUCUAACAUAGUUUCACUCAUUAAUUCCGAGAGCAAAAAGAAAAUAUUGAAAGUUGUUUGUACAGUACAAGUAAGUUAAUUAUUUAGCUUGCGUAAUACAAAUUCUCUAUACUGAAGCUAAAUUAUAAUAACUGUGUAUUCUGGAUAAUUGAAACAUAGGGACAAGCAUAAUGAUAAUAAAAUACUAAUACUACUAAUAACAACUAAUUCUAAUGAUAUAAAAAAAAAUUAUGUUAGGAAAUUUUCAGGAAAUAAAUCCAACUUAGAACCAUUAUAACAAGACCGUGGACUUUUGGUUGGACCUAGCUAUCUAUUUCUUGCGUCAAAACAAGUUAAAAAUGACGCAAUUUCAAGCAAAAUAUGCACCGAUUGCGUAGUCUUGGCUCAGAAGCCAGACAAAUCUUGUUGAUUUCAAAGAGCAAUGGCUGAGUGGCCAGCAAUGAAAUAGUCAGGCCUACGUCACAUUGCUGUUUGACACAACUACCCAAAGUCCACGCUCUUGUUAAAAUGGAUCAAAUGUAUUCAACUGACUGACGUCAACGUCAUUCUUGUAAAAGUUAGAAAGGACUAUAUAUA
Molecule: long non-coding RNA, 2128 nt
Organism: Magallana angulata
Lineage: Eukaryota; Metazoa; Mollusca; Bivalvia; Ostreida; Ostreidae
Exons: 5
Source: RefSeq, a predicted model, not a curated record